UCCAUGGGUCUACCUCCACAACGCACUCCACGCCCAAGGGACAGGGCUAGGCGUCACCAGCCCACAGGUAUGGACAGUCUCAUUAAUGACAUGGGCGAAUUGCAGAUUGGGCAAGAAGCAACAUUGCAACUGGCGUUACAAAACGGCCAACAUAUCCGACGUGUGCGAGAGGAAGACGCACAACGCUGGACUGGAUGGUACCAAAAUUUCCCGCCACCACAGUGAGCGAAGAUCUAGCUUGGGGAGAUCCUCUCCCCCACUAAGGUAAGUAUUCUAUCCUAUUUAUUUUCAUGCAUUUUAUCAUUCUUACUUAAAAAAAAUAAAUAAAUAUUUAUUAGCAUUUCCCUUUAGCAUAUAUGCUUCAUGUAUGUUUAUAUCCGUCAUGGAAAUUAUGACUAGUUGCUUGUUAAUGUUUCUCUAGUGCCUAGUAUACAACUUAGUAUUUCUCUAAGUAUGGAUCACUUAGCUCACUUAAACUGCCAUGAACCUAAAAACUUUGUGGGUUGCAAGUGCUAGAACUAAGUCUAAGUUAUUGUGGGACAUGAGAUAGUAAGACAAGAGCUACUAUAAUAUUUUUCUAAGCAUGCAUGAUUAUCAGAGAUUUAUUCUUAAAAUGAUCAAAACCUUAAUUGUUCCUCAAUGGUGAUGAAUUCCUACCACAGCCAUAUCUACUUUACAUAAUUGCAACCUUUCCACAUAAGCUAUUUGCUUUGUGUUGAGUGUCGUCAAGUCUUGUUGACCCUUGUUAAGAGACUUUUCAUGCUCCUAAGAUCAAGAUCACGUACACACCACAUAUAUAUAUGCUGCUUCUACACUGGAAGUACGCAACCACAUGUAUUUCGCAUCCACUAAAUAGGUUGCUCCAUACUCUAAAUGUUAGAACAUCUCUCUAAGCAUUAUUUGGUAAAUGAGACAUCAAAAGGCUAGGCAAAAUGAAAUAAAAAGAUGGACAUGUGCAAGUCCACAGAAAAAGAAAAUUGAGCACAUGAAAGCCCAUAUAUAAAAAAAAAGAAGAAAAAAAUGCUAGCCAUGUCUCAAUACAUAGAGAGUCUAUCAAAUAAAGGAGCAACCUAGUCCACCAUAUAUCACACUUGCACAUCUUGAUCUGGGAGUAUGACACUUCUCUUCAAGGAUCCGAGCUUUGACUUCGCAAUAUAUGCAAAGUAAGUAUGCUAUCUCCUUUCAUCCCUACCUUGAACUCCACAUAAGCCUUUUAGAAAUAGGAUGAAAUAGAGAAGGCAACUCUUACCAUAUGCCUUGGUGAGGAAUCAUACACCAUUUGAGUGACAUGAGAGAACCAUAAGAGGAACAUUUAAGCUUUCUUUUGAAAAUAUCACAAAACCUCUGAUAUGAAACUUGCUAAGAAUGAGAAAGUUAGUGCUCAAGUCAAACUGUUCUGUCUCUCAACCACCUAAGACAAAGGAAAAGCCAUAAGCCCCAUAAGGGACUAAGGUAAUAGGGGUAAGUUUACAUAGCUAAAUUUUUCAUGCAAAGAGAAGAACUUUGUUGUACACAUGGUACUCUUG
This 1526-nucleotide long non-coding RNA is filed under the name Sorghum bicolor (sorghum). Its description in RNAcentral is "long non-coding RNA (SBIC_LNC008776)". Lineage: Eukaryota; Viridiplantae; Streptophyta; Magnoliopsida; Poales; Poaceae. The record is from RNAcentral.